Molecule: ribosomal RNA, 290 nt
Filed under: uncultured bacterium
Lineage: Bacteria
Description: partial 16S ribosomal RNA
Rfam family: Bacterial small subunit ribosomal RNA
Source: RNAcentral
GAGGACCUACGGGAGGCAGCAGUGAGGAAUAUUGGUCAAUGGGCGGAAGCCUGAACCAGCCAAGUCGCGUGAGGGAAUAAGGCCCUACGGGUCGUAAACCCCUUUUGCCGGGGAGCAAGGGCCGGGACGCGUCCCGGCCCGGAGAGUACCCGGAGAGAAAGCAUCGGCUAACUCCGUGCCAGCAGCCGCGGUAAUACGGAGGAUGCGAGCGUUAUCCGGAUUUAUUGGGUUUAAAGGGUGCGUAGGCGGGCUUUUAAGUCAGCGGUAAAAAUUCGGGGCUCAACCCCGUC